Molecule: ribosomal RNA, 253 nt
Filed under: uncultured bacterium
Lineage: Bacteria
Description: partial 16S ribosomal RNA
Rfam family: Bacterial small subunit ribosomal RNA
Source: RNAcentral
UACAGAGGUCCCAAGCGUUGUUCGGAUUCACUGGGCGUAAAGGGUGCGUAGGUGGCGAGGUAAGUCGGAUGUGAAAGCUCGGAGCUCAACUCCGAAAUGGCAUUGGAAACUACCUGGCUUGAGGGUUGGAAGGGGGACUGGAAUUCCUGGUGUAGCGGUGAAAUGCGCAGAUAUCAGGAGGAACACCGAUGGCGAAGGCAGGUCUCUGGGCCAUUACUGACACUGAGAAGCGAAAGCAUGGGGAGCGAACAGG